RNAcentral lists this ribosomal RNA (497 nucleotides) under uncultured bacterium. RNAcentral's name for it is "partial 16S ribosomal RNA". It matches the Rfam family "Bacterial small subunit ribosomal RNA", at positions 28 to 507 of the family's 1533-position model. The record is from RNAcentral.
GAUGAACGCUGGCGGCGUGCCUAAUACAUGCAAGUCGAGCGAACAGACGAGGAGCUUGCUCCUCUGACGUUAGCGGCGGACGGGUGAGUAACACGUGGAUAACCUACCUAUAAGACUGGGAUAACUUCGGGAAACCGGAGCUAAUACCGGAUAAUAUAUUGAACCGCAUGGUUCAAUAGUGAAAGACGGUUUUGCUGUCACUUAUAGAUGGAUCCGCGCCGCAUUAGCUAGUUGGUAAGGUAACGGCUUACCAAGGCGACGAUGCGUAGACGACCUGAGAGGGGGAUAGGCGACACGGGAACGGAAACGCGGACCAGACUCCUAAGGGAGGCAGCAGUAGGGAAUGUUCCGCAAUGGGCGAAAGCCUGACGGAGCAAGGCCGCGUGAGUGAUGAAGGUCUUCGGAUCGUAAUACUCUGUUAUUAGGGAAGAACAAAUGUGUAAGUAAAUAUGCAGUUAUUGACGGUACCUAAUCAAAAAGCAACGGCUAACUACGUG